RNAcentral lists this ribosomal RNA (468 nucleotides) under uncultured bacterium. RNAcentral describes it as "partial 16S ribosomal RNA". It matches the Rfam family "Bacterial small subunit ribosomal RNA", at positions 28 to 507 of the family's 1533-position model. The record is from RNAcentral.
GACGAACGCUGGCGGCGUGCUUAACACAUGCAAGUCGAACGGAAAGACGCUGCUUUUGUGGGGUGCUCGAGUGGCGAAGGGGUGAGUAACACGCGAGUAACCCGCCCCUGACUUUGGGAUAACUUUAGGAAACUGGGGAUAAUAUCCGGUAGGAUCUCUUGAUGCACGGGGGGGGUUGGAAAGAUACGGCGGUUGGGGAUGGAUUCGCGGGUUAUCAGCUUGUUGGGGGGGUAGUGGAGUACGAAGGUUUUGACGGAUAGCCGGCCUGGGAGGGGGGCCGGCCACAUUGGGACUGAGAGACGGAGCAGUAGCCUAUCGGACGCAGUGGUCGAGAGUAUGGCAGAGCAGGCGGGAGUGAGAGGCGACAGCGUCGGGUGCGGAAUGACGGCCUUUGGGUUAUAAACCGCUUUCGCCUGAGACGAAGCGUGAGUGACGGUAAUGGGUAAAGAAGCACCGGCUAACUACGUG